Molecule: long non-coding RNA, 934 nt
Filed under: Equus asinus (donkey)
Lineage: Eukaryota; Metazoa; Chordata; Mammalia; Perissodactyla; Equidae
Description: lncRNA (ENSEASG00005033050.1)
Source: RNAcentral
CCCGUCUCCACCUGAAAGGGCGCUCUAAUGCGCAUGGCAAAGGGUUCGCUGUAAUGGAUGCCUGAGGGGCAGAGCAAGGAAGGGGAGGAGUCACCGCCUCCAAAUUGAAUUUCUUUUCCCCUCCCUUUUAGCCGCUGGAGAGCUGAAGAUUCUCGCCUCCUCCGAAUUUCCAUCAUCAACUUUCUUGACCAGCUUUCCCUGGUGGUUGGAGGGCAGGUUCGGGAUUCAGAUGGUCCAGUAGUGCUAGGCAAUUGAAGACAAUUUAGGAAAUGGAAGAAGAUGGGUCCUGUCAUUCACUAUUAACUACUGUCAACAUCUUGGAAUAUUUUCUUAGUUUUAUAGUUAAAUUUGUAUAGUAAAUAUUUAACAAUAAUAGAUGAUACAUAGUAUCUUGCAAGUUUAGGAUUUUUCCUGAUAUUUUUCAUCUAACGUGAACUUUUUAUAAAAAUUCUCAAAAGCAUUAUUGAAUAAAUGCAUAAAAGAUAAAUUAUGAUGUAAUUAUUGAACAUUUAAAUUAUUUUCAAUUUUUGCCAUAUUAUAGGUAAUGAUUCAAUGGAAUUCUUGUAUAUAGAUCUUUGCAUGAAUGAUGGUUUGCUUAAGAUUAUAAGAGGUAGGAUUACCACGUUCAAUAUUUACUAUUUUUUUAAAGCUCUCAACGUACGGUGCAAAAUUGCUCUCCAGAGAAUGUGCCUUCUCAACAAAAUGUUGGUUUCCCACAUCGUUGUCACCACUGGGUCACCUCAGCAAAAUUUUUUAAAAACUUAGUUUGCAUGAGAACAACAAAAAUACCCCAAAAAUUCUGGAGUAGGAGCCUUGUGGCUUCCUGGCCUAGUCUCAGAUCAGUGAAGAGAAAGUGGUGGGACAACUGUUUAAGCCUUUUGUUGGAAGAAGUUAGCUCCCUGUAAAAUAUGUUGUAGCCUGCAGCCUUGCUAAA